Molecule: ribosomal RNA, 1097 nt
Filed under: Lulworthia sp. A218-1C
Lineage: Eukaryota; Fungi; Ascomycota; Sordariomycetes; Lulworthiales; Lulworthiaceae
Description: SSU rRNA
Rfam family: Eukaryotic small subunit ribosomal RNA
Source: RNAcentral
AAAGAUAGCCAUGCAUGUCUAAGUAUAAGCAAUUAUACCGCGAAACUGCGAAUGGCUCAUUAAAUCAGUUAUCGUUUAUUUGAUAGUUCCCUACUACUUGGAUAACCGUGGUAAUUCUAGAGCUAAUACAUGCAAAAAACCGCGACUUCGGAAGCGGUGUAUUUAUUAGAUUAAAGACCAAUGCCCUUCGGGGCUGACUGGUGAUUCAUGAUAACUUCUCGAAUCGCACGGCCUUGCGCCGGCGAUGGUUCAUUCAAAUUUCUGCCCUAUCAACUUUCGACUUUAGCGUAGUGGGCUAAAGUGGUUACAACGGGUAACGGAGGGUUAGGGCUCGACCCCGGAGAAGGAGCCUGAGAGACGGCUACUACAUCCAAGGAAGGCAGCAGGCGCGCAAAUUACCCAAUCCCGACACGGGGAGGUAGUGACAAUAAAUACUGAUACAGGGCUCUUUUGGGUCUUGUAAUUGGAAUGAGUACAAUUUAAAUCCCUUAACGAGGAACAAUUGGAGGGCAAGUCUGGUGCCAGCAGCCGCGGUAAUUCCAGCUCCAAUAGCGUAUAUUAAAGUUGUUGUGGUUAAAAAGCUCGUAGUUGAACCUGGGCCUCGCGCAGACCGGUCCGCCUCACCGCGUGCACUGGUCCUGCCGGGGCUUUCACUAGGGGAUUCGCAUGCCCUUCACUGGGCGUGCGCGGAACCUGGACCUUUACUGUGAAAAAAUUAGAGUGUUCAAAGCAGGCCUAUGCUCGAAUACAUUAGCAUGGAAUAAUAGAAUAGGACGUGUGGUUCUAUUUUGUUGGUUAUGGGACCGCCGUAAUGAUUAAUAGGGACAGUCGGGGGCAUCAGUAUUCAAUUGUCAGAGGUGAAAUUCUUGGAUUUAUUGAAGACUAACUACUGCGAAAGCAUUUGCCAAGGAUGUUUUCAUUAAUCAGGAACGAAAGUUAGGGGAUCGAAGACGAUCAGAUACCGACGUAGACUUAACCAUAAACUAUGCCGACUAGGGAUCGGGCGAUGUUACUUUUUGACACGCUCGGCACCUUACGAGAAAUCAAAGUUUGUGGGUUCCUGGGGAGUAUGUGCAACGCUGAAGUUAAAGAUAGAA